RNAcentral lists this ribosomal RNA (206 nucleotides) under uncultured bacterium. Its description in RNAcentral is "partial 16S ribosomal RNA". It matches the Rfam family "Bacterial small subunit ribosomal RNA", at positions 568 to 774 of the family's 1533-position model. The record is from RNAcentral.
CUCGUAGGCGGCCAACUAAGUCAGACGUGAAAUCCCUCAGCUUAACUGGGGAACUGCGUCUGAUACUGGAUGGCUUGGAUUCGGGAGAGGGAUGCGGAAUUCCAGGUGUAGCGGUGAAAUGCGUAGAUAUCUGGAGGAACACCGGUGGCGAAGGCGGCAUCCUGGACCGAUAUUGACGCUGAGGAGCGAAAGCCAGGGAGCAAACG